GAUGAACGCUGGCGGCGUGCCUAACACAUGCAAGUCGAGCGAAGCGCUUAAAUUAGAUUUCUUCGGGAUGACGAUUUUUGUGACUGAGCGGCGGACGGGUGAGUAACGCGUGGGUAACCUGCCUCAUACAGGGGGAUAACAGUUAGAAAUGACUGCUAAUACCGCAUAAGACCCCAGCUUCGCAUGAAGCGGUGGUAAAAACUCCGGUGGUAUGAGAUGGACCCGCGUCUGAUUAGCUAGUUGGUAAGGUAACGGCUUACCAAGGCGACGAUCAGUAGCCGACCUGAGAGGGUGACCGGCCACAUUGGGACUGAGACACGGCCCAGACUCCUACGGGAGGCAGCAGUGGGGAAUAUUGCACAAUGGGGGAAACCCUGAUGCAGCGACGCCGCGUGAAGGAUGAAGUAUUUCGGUAUGUAAACUUCUAUCAGCAGGGAAGAAAGUGACGGUACCUGACGAAGAAGCCCCGGCUAACUACGUG
Molecule: ribosomal RNA, 481 nt
Filed under: uncultured bacterium
Lineage: Bacteria
Description: partial 16S ribosomal RNA
Rfam family: Bacterial small subunit ribosomal RNA
Source: RNAcentral